GAUGAAGAACGUAGCGAAAUGCGAUAAGUAAUGUGAAUUGCAGAAUUCAGUGAAUCACCGAAUCUUUGAACGCACAUUGCGCCCCCUGGUAUUCCGGGGGGCAUGCCUGUUCGAGCGUCAUUUCAACCCUCAAGCUCUGCUUGGUAUUGGGCGUCGCCGGGGAGUCUCCCCGGCGUGCCUCAAAGCCAUCGGCGGUGGUGCCUUUCUCUAAGCGUGGUAGAAUUUUUAUUCGCUUCUGAGUUGGGCUUCGCCUGCCGGACAAACCGGGCCCUCGCGGCCCACCUUCUCAGGUUGACCUCGGAUCAGGUAGGGAUACCCGCUGAACUUAAGCAUAUCAAUAAGCGGAGGA
RNAcentral lists this unclassified non-coding RNA (349 nucleotides) under soil metagenome. RNAcentral describes it as "partial contains 5.8S ribosomal RNA, internal transcribed spacer 2, and large subunit ribosomal RNA". The stretch from base 1 to 120 matches the Rfam family "5.8S ribosomal RNA", at positions 35 to 154 of the family's 154-position model. The record is from RNAcentral.